CCUACGGGUGGCUGCAGUGGGGAAUAUUGCGCAAUGGACGAAAGUCUGACGCAGCGACGCCGCGUGAGGGAUGAAGGUUUUCGGAUCGUAAACCUCUGUCAGGAGGGAAGAAAGCGCAUGGCGCCAAUCAGCCAUGCGUUGACGGUACCUCCAAAGGAAGCGCCGGCUAACUCCGUGCCAGCAGCCGCGGUAAUACGGAGGGUGCGAGCGUUAAUCGGAAUUACUGGGCGUAAAGCGCUCGUAGGCGGUAUGUCAAGUCAAGGGUGAAAUCCCCGCGCUCAACGUGGGAACUGCCUUUGAAACUGGCAAACUGGAGUGUGUGAGAGGAUAGUGGAAUUCCAGGUGUAGGAGUGAAAUCCGUAGAUAUCUGGAGGAACAUCAGUGGCGAAGGCGACUAUCUGGCACAUAACUGACGCUGAGGAGCGAAAGCGUGGGUAGCAAACAGGAUUAGAUACCCCUGUAGUC
RNAcentral lists this ribosomal RNA (465 nucleotides) under uncultured bacterium. RNAcentral's name for it is "partial 16S ribosomal RNA". It matches the Rfam family "Bacterial small subunit ribosomal RNA", at positions 338 to 795 of the family's 1533-position model. The record is from RNAcentral.